GAAUAUUGGACAAUGGGCGCAAGCCUGAUCCAGCCAUGCCGCGUGAGUGAAGAAGGCCCUCGGGUUGUAAAGCUCUUUUGUCCGGAAAGAAAAGCUUUCGGUUAAUACCCGGAAGUCAUGACGGUACCGGAAGAAUAAGCACCGGCUAACUUCGUGCCAGCAGCCGCGGUAAUACGAAGGGUGCAAGCGUUACUCGGAAUUACUGGGCGUAAAGCGUGCGUAGGUGGUUCGUUAAGUCUGAUGUGAAAGCCCUGGGCUCAACCUGGGAAUUGCAUUGGAUACUGGCGGGCUAGAGUGCGGUAGAGGAUGGCGGAAUUCCCGGUGUAGCAGUGAAAUGCGUAGAGAUCGGGAGGAACAUCCGUGGCGAAGGCGGCCAUCUGGACCAACACUGACACUGAGGCACGAAAGCGUGGGGAGCAAACAG
RNAcentral lists this ribosomal RNA (424 nucleotides) under uncultured bacterium. RNAcentral describes it as "bacterial SSU rRNA". It matches the Rfam family "Bacterial small subunit ribosomal RNA", at positions 359 to 775 of the family's 1533-position model. The record is from RNAcentral.